UACGUAGGGGGCAAGCGUUGUCCGGAUUAUUGGGCGUAAAGAGCGUGUAGGCGGCCUGAAAGGUCAGCUGUGAAAACUCGAGGCUCAACCUCGAGACGUCGGUGGAAACCGCAUGGCUAGAGUCCGGAAGAGGAGAGUGGAAUUCCCGGUGUAGCGGUGAAAUGCGCAGAGUAUCGGGAAGAACACCCGUGGCGAAGGCGGCUCUCUGGGACGGUACUGACGCUGAGACGCGAAAGCGUGGG
RNAcentral lists this ribosomal RNA (242 nucleotides) under uncultured bacterium. Its description in RNAcentral is "partial 16S ribosomal RNA". It matches the Rfam family "Bacterial small subunit ribosomal RNA", at positions 524 to 765 of the family's 1533-position model. The record is from RNAcentral.